RNAcentral lists this small nucleolar RNA (136 nucleotides) under Cavia aperea (Brazilian guinea pig). The record is from RNAcentral. Lineage: Eukaryota; Metazoa; Chordata; Mammalia; Rodentia; Caviidae.
CUGGCCUGAAUCAAGGCCAGCAGCUUCCUGAUGCUAUUGGUUUCAAGCAGGAGCCUAAAGAGAUGUCUUUCUAUGGUCUGUUGGCCAUUUCAGAACUUGGGCAGUGAAAUGGUCAAUUCAUUAGAAACAGCUUGAA